This 460-nucleotide ribosomal RNA is filed under the name uncultured bacterium. RNAcentral's name for it is "partial 16S ribosomal RNA". It matches the Rfam family "Bacterial small subunit ribosomal RNA", at positions 338 to 795 of the family's 1533-position model. The record is from RNAcentral.
CCUACGGGAGGCUGCAGUGAGGAAUAUUGGUCAAUGGGCGCGAGCCUGAACCAGCCAAGUAGCGUGAAGGAUGACUGCCCUACGGGCUGUAAACUUCUUUUAUAAAGGAAUAAAGUGAGGCACGUGUGCCUUUUUGUAUGUACCUUAUGAUUAAGGAUCGGCUAACUCUGUGUCAGCAGCCGCGGUAAUACGGAGGGUCCGAGCGUGAUCCGGAUUUAUUGGGUUUAAAGGGAGCGGAGAUGGGUUGUUAAGUCAGUUGUGAAAGUUUGCGGCUCAACCGUAAACUUGCAAUGGAUACUGGCAGUCUUGAGUACAGUUGAGGAAGGUGGAAUUCGUGGUGUAGCGGUGAAAUGCGUAGAUAUCACGAAGAACUCCGAUUGCGAAGGCAGCUUACUAAACUGCCACUGACAUUGAUGCUCGAAAGUGUGGGUAUCAAACAGGAUUAGAUACCCUGGUAGUC